RNAcentral lists this ribosomal RNA (301 nucleotides) under uncultured bacterium. RNAcentral's name for it is "partial 16S ribosomal RNA". It matches the Rfam family "Bacterial small subunit ribosomal RNA", at positions 509 to 807 of the family's 1533-position model. The record is from RNAcentral.
CAGCAGCCGCGGUAAUACGUAGGUGGCAAGCGUUGUCCGGAAUUAUUGGGCGUAAAGCGCGCGCAGGUGGUUUAACAAGUCUGAUGUGAAAGCCCACGGCUCAACCGUGGAGGGUCAUUGGAAACUGUUAAACUUGAGUGCAGGAGAGAAAAGUGGAAUUCCUAGUGUAGCGGUGAAAUGCGUAGAGAUUAGGAGGAACACCAGUGGCGAAGGCGGCUUUUUGGCCUGUAACUGACACUGAGGCGCGAAAGCGUGGGGAGCAAACAGGAUUAGAUACCCCCGUAGUCCCUGUCUCUUAUAC